Molecule: ribosomal RNA, 463 nt
Filed under: uncultured bacterium
Lineage: Bacteria
Description: partial 16S ribosomal RNA
Rfam family: Bacterial small subunit ribosomal RNA
Source: RNAcentral
GAUGAACGCCGACAGAAUGCUUAACACAUGCAAGUCUUUGGCGAAUCUGUGCUUGCACAGGCUAGCCAAGGCGGACGGGUGAGUAACGCGUAAAGAACUUGCCCUGCGGACAGGGAUAACAGACGGAAACGACUGAUAACACCUGAUACAGUUGCCGGCACGCAUGUGCCUGGCAAUGAAAAGAGAUGCUGCAGGAGAGCUUUGCGUCCUAUUAGCUUGUUGGUGAGGUGACGGCUCACCAAGGCGAUGAUAGGUAGCCGGCCUGAGAGGGUGAACGGCCACAAGGGGACUGAGAUACGGCCCUUACUCCUACGGGAGGCAGCAGUGGGGAAUAUUGGACAAUGGGGGCAACCCUGAUCCAGCAAUUCUGUGUGCACGAAGAAGGUUUUCGGAUUGUAAAGUGCUUUCAGCAGGGAAGAAGAAAGUGACGGUACCUGCAGAAGAAGCGACGGCUAAAUACGUG